Molecule: long non-coding RNA, 379 nt
Organism: Mercenaria mercenaria
Lineage: Eukaryota; Metazoa; Mollusca; Bivalvia; Venerida; Veneridae
Exons: 4
Source: RefSeq, a predicted model, not a curated record
UUUUCUCAUUUUUCAGCAGACUCCAGAUAGAAGUUCUUUCCAGAUGUAAAGUGAAUUGAUGGAAUCUUGAAAAAGUGUUUUGAGUGUUGGUGUUGUCCAGAUAUAAAAAAAAAUGAGCAGCUGCCAGAUGAAUGUACUUUCCAGAUGUAAACCAUCACAAAUGAUGCCUGUUUGUAUUUACCAGUGUUGAAAAAGUGAUCAAAUUUGAUGUGGGAUGAUUCAAAACAAAUCUUCAAAUUGACAAUGGCAAAAAGCAAGUGGAAAUGGAAUACUGCAGUUGAUGAAAAUGGUCUGCUCAGCUCUGCAAAGCCAUCGACUUGAGUACAUUGGUUAUUUUCCCUGUACUAAUAAAAUGAAAAUAAAAUUUGUUUAAAAAUUU